Molecule: ribosomal RNA, 390 nt
Filed under: uncultured bacterium
Lineage: Bacteria
Description: bacterial SSU rRNA
Rfam family: Bacterial small subunit ribosomal RNA
Source: RNAcentral
UGCAAGUCGAACGCAGUAGCAAUACUGAGUGGCAAACGGGUGAGUAUAAUGUGGGAAUCUGCCUUUUGGUUUGGAAUAACACGGGGAAACUUGUGCUAAUACCGAAUAAGCCCUUACGGGGAAAGUUUUAACGCCGAAAGAUGAGCCCGCACUUGAUUAGCUAGUUGGUAAGGUAAAAGCUUACCAAGGCAACGAUCAAUAGCUGUUCUUAGAGGAAGACCAGCCACAUUGGGACUGAGACACGGCCCAGACUCCUACGGGAGGCAGCAGUGGGGAAUCUUGCACAAUGGGGGAAACCCUGAUGCAGCGAUGCCGCGUGAGUGAAGAAGGCCUUUGGGUUGUAAAACUCUUUCGUCGGGGAAGAAAAUGACUGUACCCGAAUAAGAAGGU